Molecule: ribosomal RNA, 269 nt
Filed under: uncultured prokaryote
Description: partial 16S ribosomal RNA
Rfam family: Bacterial small subunit ribosomal RNA
Source: RNAcentral
UACGGAGGAUGCAAGCGUUAUCCGGAUUCAUUGGGUUUAAAGGGUGCGCAGGCGGGAGAUUAAGUCGGCGGUGAAAUUUUGCAGCUCAACUGUAAAAGUGCCUUCGAAACUGGUUUCCUUGAGUGUAGAUGAAGUAGGCGGAAUUUGUGGUGUAGCGGUGAAAUGCAUAGAUAUCACGAGGAACUCCGAUUGCGAAGGCAGCUUACUAAGCUACUACUGACGCUCAGGCACGAAGGCGUGGGGAUCAAACAGGAUUAGAUACCCGCGUA